CCUACGGGGGGCUGCAGUGAGGAAUAUUGGUCAAUGGACGAGAGUCUGAACCAGCCAAGUAGCGUGAAGGAUGACUGCCCUAUGGGUUGUAAACUUCUUUUAUAUGGGAAUAAAAUGUUCCACGUGUGGGAUUUUGUAUGUACCAUAUGAAUAAGGAUCGGCUAACUCCGUGCCAGCAGCCGCGGUAAUACGGAGGAUCCGAGCGUUAUCCGGAUUUAUUGGGUUUAAAGGGAGCGUAGGUGGAUUGUUAAGUCAGUUGUGAAAGUUUGCGGCUCAACCGUAAAAUUGCAGUUGAAACUGGCAGUCUUGAGUACAGUAGAGGUGGGCGGAAUUAGUGGUGUAGCGGUGAAAUGCUUAGAUAUCACGAAGAACUCCGAUUGCGAAGGCAGUUCACUGGACUGCAACUGACACUGAGGCUCGAAAGUGUGGGUAUCAAACAGGAUUAGAUACCCGAGUAGUC
Molecule: ribosomal RNA, 460 nt
Filed under: uncultured bacterium
Lineage: Bacteria
Description: partial 16S ribosomal RNA
Rfam family: Bacterial small subunit ribosomal RNA
Source: RNAcentral